Non-coding RNA from Salmo salar (Atlantic salmon), 54 nucleotides. Lineage: Eukaryota; Metazoa; Chordata; Actinopteri; Salmoniformes; Salmonidae. The record is from Rfam.
AAUGCACCAAUUUGUAAGUCGCUCUGGAUAUAAGCGUCUGCUAAAUGACGUAAA